AAAUCAGGUGCCAAGAGUUCACUUUGAAUAACGUUCUAGAAUUCAAAAGUACAAACCAUAGUCAGAGUUCCAAAGUCAAGCCAAAGAAUCAAGGGUCAUAGUUCAGUUCAAAUCCAUAAGUCAAAACCAGGAAGGUUGUCCAAGAUUCAUAUUCCAGGGUUGAGGAAACAACAAGGUCCAAGACAAGGUUACAGGAGCAGCAGAUUCAAAAACAGGUUUGCAGGAAAAAGGAUUAAAGUCCAGAGAACUAUAUUGAAAGUAAAUUGCCAAGAACAUUGUGUGACAAGACUGCAGUAUCUAAAAGUCUCCACAUGUGGCAAUCACACAAACCUGGAAGAACCUUUGCCUGAGUGGCAUAUACAGAAAUGAUACUUCAUCCCUUUAUGUAUGAAAUCAACAACAUGUUCCUGUCUGAUUGGGCAUUCAUGGAGAAAAGGGAUGUGAACUGAAAAAAUAGUGUGUGUCUUUUCAAAGACAGCAUCAUGUUAUGUUUCUCCCUUUACAGAAAUUUAUGUUACACGGUAUUAGACCAUGGGCUAAGCUUAAUGUAACAUGAUACAUUAAA
Molecule: long non-coding RNA, 565 nt
Organism: Anolis carolinensis (green anole)
Lineage: Eukaryota; Metazoa; Chordata; Lepidosauria; Squamata; Anolidae
Exons: 4
Source: RefSeq, a predicted model, not a curated record